RNAcentral lists this transfer RNA (58 nucleotides) under Docophoroides brevis. RNAcentral's name for it is "tRNA-Leu". Lineage: Eukaryota; Metazoa; Arthropoda; Insecta; Psocodea; Philopteridae. The record is from RNAcentral.
UGAAUUGGCAGAUUAGUGCACUAAAUUUAGGUUUUAGAUAUGUGUUACACAUUCAGUA